This 301-nucleotide small nuclear RNA is filed under the name Oryctolagus cuniculus (rabbit). RNAcentral describes it as "7SK RNA". It matches the Rfam family "7SK RNA". Rfam says of the family: 7SK was discovered as an abundant small nuclear RNA in the mid-70s but a possible function has only recently been suggested. Two independent studies have found that 7SK RNA binds the CDK9/cyclin T complex (known as elongation factor P-TEFb). Lineage: Eukaryota; Metazoa; Chordata; Mammalia; Lagomorpha; Leporidae. The record is from Rfam by way of RNAcentral.
AGGCUUGAGGGCCAUAUGGCUGUGACAUCUGUCACCUCAUUGAUUCAGCUGAUCUGGCUGGCGAGGCAGGUGUCCCCUUCCUCCCUCAGGGCUCCAUGUGAGUCCCUCCUGAAGCCAUGCGCUCCUUCAAAGAGAAUGACCUUCCACUCUAGAGGAGGACCAACCAGUCUCCGGUCAAGGGUAUACAAGCAGCUGCCCUCCCCUGAUAGACUCUCCAAACAAGCUCUCAAAAUAUGAAGAGAUUUCAAAAAGUUCAUGGGAAAAUGAAAUCAAAAUAAAAUUCACAUGUCCAAGAAGCUUU